Molecule: non-coding RNA, 76 nt
Organism: Potamilus streckersoni
Lineage: Eukaryota; Metazoa; Mollusca; Bivalvia; Unionida; Unionidae
Source: the annotation of a GenBank genome assembly
GCACCAGUGGCCUAGUGGUUAGAGCAUCUGACUUGGAUGCAGAAGGUCACAGGUUCAAACCCAUCAAAGAUGUACA